This 383-nucleotide ribosomal RNA is filed under the name uncultured Anoxybacillus sp. Its description in RNAcentral is "bacterial SSU rRNA". It matches the Rfam family "Bacterial small subunit ribosomal RNA", at positions 998 to 1382 of the family's 1533-position model. The record is from RNAcentral. Lineage: Bacteria; Bacillati; Bacillota; Bacilli; Caryophanales; Anoxybacillaceae.
GGAUCGGGCGGUUCCCCCUUCGGGGGGACGAGGGUGACAGGUGGUGCAUGGUUGUCGUCAGCUCGUGUCGUGAGAUGUUGGGUUAAGUCCCGCAACGAGCGCAACCCUCGACCUUAGUUGCCAGCAUUCAGUUGGGCACUCUAAGGUGACUGCUGGCUAAAAGUCGGAGGAAGGUGGGGAUGACGUCAAAUCAUCAUGCCCCUUAUGACCUGGGCUACACACGUGCUACAAUGGGCGGUACAAAGGGUCGCGAACCCGCGAGGGGGAGCCAAUCCCAAAAAGCCGCUCUCAGUUCGGAUUGCAGGCUGCAACUCGCCUGCAUGAAGCCGGAAUCGCUAGUAAUCGCGGAUCAGCAUGCCGCGGUGAAUACGUUCCCGGGCCUU